This is a non-coding RNA of Paramuricea clavata, 73 nucleotides long. The record is from the annotation of a GenBank genome assembly. NCBI's taxonomy places the organism in Eukaryota, Metazoa, Cnidaria, Anthozoa, Malacalcyonacea, Plexauridae.
GGCCCUGUGGCCUAAUGGAUAAGGCGCUUCCCUCCGGAGGAAGAGAUUGUGGGUUCGAGUCCCAUCAGGGUCG